GGGUGCAUAGCUCAGUUGGUUAGAGCGCCACGUUUACACCGUGGAUGUCAGAGGUUCGAAUCCUCUUGCGCCCA
RNAcentral lists this transfer RNA (74 nucleotides) under Spirochaetia bacterium. RNAcentral's name for it is "tRNA-Val". It matches the Rfam family "tRNA". From Rfam's summary of the family: Transfer RNA (tRNA) molecules are approximately 80 nucleotides in length. The record is from RNAcentral. Lineage: Bacteria; Pseudomonadati; Spirochaetota; Spirochaetia.